UGUGUGUCUGAGCGUGUGUGUGUGUGUGUGUGUGUGUGUGUGUGCGUUGGUGCGACCGGACUGUUGGGACUAAACACCUGAAUACAUACCGUCACUAUGAGCACACACCGUAACUGUUGGAACAGCGCUACUGUCCCGAUAAGUCGGGCGGCAUACACGUGUUCUAACAUGCGUGACUUACUACCUCCCGCGUUUUCUCGUUAUGUCCUGAUGUUUACGGUGAACCCGUUUUUCUGUGUGUAUCAGUGUAUGCUCAUAGUGUAUAAUCUCCCACUAUCGUCCCUUUCCUGCUACUGCUGCUCCAUACACAUUAGAGCGCGUCACAGUCGCGUUUCAUUGGUCUAGCCGCAGAACUCCUCGCCCGCGAUUGGCUGGAUUUUUAUCGACUUUCAUUGGUCGAUCAGCGGAAUCCCCGUCAGCGAUUGGCUGGAUUUCAUGUCAAUCAAUAUCAACCCGCUUCACGUUUCCAAUUGGCUGCCGAAGACACGAGAGGUAGACCUUUAAUUCCGCCGGAGUAAAGCAACUACGAAAGAGAACUAUUUGUGCAUCUUAAAGCAUCGAUGCUUCACAAAAGGAUGGAUAACUGGUAUGCCGUAAUGAUGGUCACAGAAAUCCUAAAUGAAGGCAGUAGUUCUGUUUCUGUUUACUACAAGGGAUAUCUUUCCAAAUGAGGAAAUUACCCACAACUAUGGUGAUUCUUCUUGGCCAUGGCAUUCAAGGGAAUUGCAUGAAGCAUCAUUGGUGACUGAGAUUGAAUGCAGUGUGAAAACUUCCAUGUCAGGGAAAGAGAAACAAUUAUGUGAAAAGUCAUCAAUGGCAAUGAUUGAAUGUGGUUCGAAAAAUUUCUACAUCAGGGAAGGAGAAAAAAUUGCAUGAAGAGUCAUUGGUGACUGGGAUCAAAUGCUGUGCGAAAACUUCUACAUCAGGGAAAGAGACAGAGUUGAAUGAAGAGUCAUUGGUGACUGGGAUCAAAUGCAGUGCGAAAACUUCCAAGUCAGGGAAAGAGACAGAAUUAUGUGAAGAGUCAUCAAUGGCGAGGAUCAAAUGCAGUGCAGAAACUUCCACAUCAGGGAAAGAGACAUGUCGCCAUGAAGUACACAGUGCUGUUGUUUCCAGUUUGCAUUCUUGCGAUGGAUGUAGUGGUCCUAUGUUAAGUAGAAAAUGAAGACUUCAACUUGCAAAUACACCAAAUCAAGGAAAGUUAUGAUAAAAUUAUGGAGCACACUGAAGUGGAUGCAGUCAUGGAACAUUUUAAAAGGACACCUCACCACAAAAGCAGAGCGUGAUCAAUGCAAGAUAGCAGAAGACAAAGUUUUUUUUCCCUCUCCGCUGUCGCGACCCGCUUGCAUGGCUUGGGAUCGGUAGAGCUACGCAUCGAUGAAUUUGCUCUUCAGUGUUUGAACUCUCAGUAAUGAUUUAAACCACACUGAACUGAGCUAAACUGAACUGAACUUAAACACUAAAAACUGAACUACCCUGAUCCAGUUACUAUGACCAUUUAUGUGAAGCUGCUUUGACACCAUUUACAUUGUAAAAGCGCUAUACAAAUAAAGCUGAAUUGAAUUGAAUUAAAAGAAGAAUGUCAUGUACACCAAGGAUGACAUUACAGUAGGGCACAAUGCCUUUUCCCCCCCUUAGUCCUUCCCCUUCCCCCUACCCCUUGUUUUGCGCGUUCACGUCAAGGGGUAGGGCUGUCCCAAUUCUCUUUAGCUUGAAGGCGUUGGGCUAAGAGGAAGGGGUGAAUAGCCCUUUGAACAAAGAUUUUUCAGGUCCACACUUGAAACCAAGGGGUAAAAAAAAUUCCCACAAUACACCUGCCAUAGCUGCACCCAGAAGUAAGGAGAAUUUUUUAUUUAUUUAUUUAUUUAUUUAUUUUUAUGACAAACAAACAUGUUUCAAUAUAUUCAUAACUACGUUCAUGUUUUACUGUCAUAGUUUUCUUUUUAACGCUAUAAUUUGCAAUCUAUAAUCCAUAAUAAUCACUCCUUUGCAGCAGUCCCACAACAUUCUGACACUUGAUGACACUGGAAUACCCUGCCAGAAAAGUCUAGUGUCUGUGAUGAGCUGUUUACAGUGUCUGCUAUGAUGUUAGUGUGGUUUUCGUGUGUUUACAUAGAUGAAUAUGGCCACUGUGUGUAUAUAUACAGUACAGUUACAAUCUUAUUGCCACAUUAGAUCAUUAUGAUAACAUGAUGUGCCUUCAGUGAUUUCCUCAAGAUAAAUAUCAAAAAAUAACACAACUGAAAUAACUACAGCAGUCGCGAUCAUCUGAUCUCAUAUGAAGCAUAAAAUUACAAUGACAUAUGCUGUCCCAAUUCUUAUGGGUACAUCUGAAGCCCUUCCCUUUAACUUUUGGUUGUAGGGGCCAAGGGGAAGGGGUAGGGGUACAAAAAUAGAAUUGGGAUUGGGCCUAAAUCAGUUUUCAUUUUUUGGUUGAACUUUAAGGGGCAGGACCCUUAAAAAUGCUGUCAUUAAGCUGUUUUUUUAAGCCUUGUUGAAUAAAUGCAUUUGAGACAGUGA
Danio rerio (zebrafish) is the source of this 2520-nucleotide non-coding RNA. Lineage: Eukaryota; Metazoa; Chordata; Actinopteri; Cypriniformes; Danionidae. The record is from RefSeq and is a predicted model, not a curated record.